Molecule: ribosomal RNA, 119 nt
Filed under: Pteropus alecto (black flying fox)
Lineage: Eukaryota; Metazoa; Chordata; Mammalia; Chiroptera; Pteropodidae
Source: RNAcentral
GUCUACGGCCAUGCCACCCUGAACAAGCCCGAUCCCGUCUGAUCUCGGAAGCUAAGCAGGGUCAAGCCUGGUUAGUACUUGGAUGAGAGACCACCUAGGAAAACCAGGUGCUGUCGGCG